AGGUGCUGCAAGCGCGGGUGAUGGACGAGUGGUUCCCGCUGCAGGGCGGGGGGCAGAGCCGGCUCCACCUGCGCCUGGAGUGGCUCUCGCUGCUCCCCGAUGCCUCCAAGCUGGAUCAGGUUUUGGAAAUGAACCGAAAUAUCGCGGCCAACCCCGACCCCCCCUCCUCCGCCAUCCUGGUCGUGUACCUGGACAGGGCUGAGGGGCUGCCCUUGAGGAAAACAGGCA
Non-coding RNA from Lonchura striata (white-rumped munia), 228 nucleotides. NCBI's taxonomy places the organism in Eukaryota, Metazoa, Chordata, Aves, Passeriformes, Estrildidae. The record is from RefSeq and is a predicted model, not a curated record.